This 272-nucleotide long non-coding RNA is filed under the name Mytilus galloprovincialis (Mediterranean mussel). Lineage: Eukaryota; Metazoa; Mollusca; Bivalvia; Mytilida; Mytilidae. The record is from RNAcentral.
CAAACAUGCGAUGCAUAUCAGUUACAUGCUAAUGGAGGAAUCAUCCAUAUGAGUGUGAGUUUAUAUUGUUUUAAUUUCAUAAUGUAGUUUGACCACAACAAGAUAUACUUACGAUAAUGAUUUUUAACCCUGAUGCUUUAAGUAGAUUGAUUUUCGAAUAUGAAUGAAAAUCUAGAGAGACAAAAACACACAACAAUACGGAGAUCAUUUGGUGCUAUAGUUUUCUGCUAAAUAUAAGACCGUAAUGAUAGAAAAUUAUAAAAAAAAAACAG